UUGAUCCUGGUUCAGAUUGAAUGCUGACGGCGUGGAUGAGGCAUGCAAGUCGUACGAAAAAAGACUUCGGUCUUUUUUAGUGGCGAAAGGGUUAGUAAUACAUGGGUAAUCUGCCCCUUACUCAGGGAUAACGGCGGGAAACGGCCGCUAAUACCUAAUGUGGUAGGGCAAGGCAUCUUGCUACUAUUAAAGCGGGGGAUCUUCGGACCUCGCGGUAAGGGAAGAGCCCAUGGGAUAUCAGCUAGUUGGUAGGGUAAUGGCCUACCAAGGCUAAGACGUCUAGGCGGAUUGAGAGAUUGACCGCCAACACUGGGACUGAGAUACUGCCCAGACUCCUACGGGAGGCUGCAGUCGAGAAUCAUUCGCAAUGGGCGAAAGCCUGACGAUGCGACGCCGUGUGAGCGAUGAAGGCCUUAGGGUUGUAAAGCUCUUUCGCCUGGGAACAAGAGAUAGUGGCUAACAUCCAUUAAAUUUGAGGGUACCAGGUAAAGAAGCACCGGCUAACUCCGUGCCAGCAGCUGCGGUAAUACGGAGGGUGCAAGCAUUAAUCGGAUUUAUUGGGCGUAAAGGGCGCGUAGGCGGGUAUGAAAGUCAGAUGUGAAAUCCCAGAGCUCAACUCUGGAACUGCAUCCGAAACUCCAUAUCUUGAGGGUAGACGGAGAAAGCGGAAUUCUACAAGUAGCGGUGAAAUGCGUAGAUAUGAGAGGAACACCGGUGGCGAAGGCGGCUUUCUAGUUUACACCUGACGCUGAGGCGCGAAAGCAAGGGGAGCAAACAGGAUUAGAUACCCUGGUAGUCCUUGCCGUAAACGAUGUAUACUUGGUGUAGUUGGACUCAACCCCGACUGUGCCGAAGCUAACGUGUUAAGUAUACCCCCUGGGGAGUACGCUCGCAAGGGUGAAACUCAAAAGAAUUGACGGGGACCCGCACAAGCAGUGGAGCAUGUGGUUUAAUUCGAUGCAACGCGAAGAACCUUACCUAGGUUUGACAUGUAGUAGACCGCUUCAGAAAUGAAGCUUUUCUUCGGAACUGCUACACAGGUGCUGCAUGGCUGUCGUCAGCUCGUGCCGUGAGGUGUUGGGUUAAGUCCCGCAACGAGCGCAACCCUUAUCAUUAGUUGCCAGCAUUUCGGAUGGGAACUCUAAUGAGACUGCCCGGGUUAACCGGGAGGAAGGUGAGGAUGACGUCAAGUCCGCAUGGCCCUUACAUCUAGGGCUACACACGUGCUACAAUGGCCGGUACAGAAGGUGGCAAUACCGCGAGGUGGAGCAAAUCCCAAAAGCCGGUCUCAGUUCGGAUUGUAGUCUGCAACUCGACUACAUGAAGCUGGAAUUGCUAGUAAUGGCGCGUCAGCAACAGCGCCGUGAAUACGUUCCCGGGUCUUGUACACACCGCCCGUCACACCACGGGAGUUGGUUUCACCCGAAGCCGCCGACCCAACCCGCAAGGGAGGGAAGCGUCGAAGGUGAGGCUGAUGACUAGGAUGAAGUCGUAACAAGGUA
This 1502-nucleotide ribosomal RNA is filed under the name metagenome. Its description in RNAcentral is "bacterial SSU rRNA". It matches the Rfam family "Bacterial small subunit ribosomal RNA". The record is from RNAcentral.